UUAAUAUUCAAAACUAAAUAAAUUAUUAUUAUAAGAUACUAGCAGACCCGGCCACACGUUUUUGUGGCUAUGGUAUACAUUAAAUUAAGUUGGUCCAAUCUUGGCUUCGGCGACGAUAUUGAUUACUCGAGGUUGAUUUAUGUUACGCAGCAUGAUUACAACUCACACUACUUUUAAUUGCAAAGUACAGGCAAUUUUAAAUAGUUUGGGAUAAUUGACUGCGUCGUCCUGGUUUGUAGCUGUGUCAACUCUCUUGGACCGAAAUUCUAAAUUGUCGCAUUAAGAUCAUCGAUAUCUUUUUUUUUUACCACCAAUAUAGGUCAGUCAUUUAUGGCUAUCAUAUUCAUGUCAGGAAAACUCCUCUUUCGAGUCAAUGAAGUGACAGAAAUCUGUUGGAAAUGCUAAUAAUCCAUCGAGGUGUCAACUGCCAACUACAAUCGCAAUUUGAUAUUGUUGCAAAAACACUCAUAUGUUAGUUGUUAAUUGGCGAUUCUUUAUGUGUCGCCACAAAUUAAAUGAUUUUAGGCAUGCGCUUAGCCCGUCAGUAACAGUUGAUCCAGGAAUAAUUUUAAGAGUCUGGCGUAAAUCACCUGCUAACAGAAUCCUGGCUCCACCAAAAACGAUCAUCGACAAUCAAGAUCUUUUAAAGUCCUGUGCAGUACCUCCAGCGACUUCUUGAAUAUUUGGGAAAUCUUCGUUAUAGCGCUAUUUUUGACGAUUUUGCCGACUGGUGUUUCGUUCAUUUGCAAUUUAGGAGUAAUUUCAAAGCCGAAUGUGCCGUUUGUUUGCUUACUAACAGGUCUCAAGUUGCCCUAUUCCCGUUAACCUUGGUGGUGAAAAUGAAUGAAAUUGGUUCUGGAAUUACAUCAGCCCUCAUAUACUAUAUAUGAUGAUUUUCUAUUGGACUUUAUGUCGAAUAUAUAGGUCAUAUUGUGUGUUAUCUUAAUAAAAUUACAUCAAUAAAUUGAGAGAGUGUAAAAUGUUCGGUUGGACGUGAACUUAGCUUUUCAUUAUUUUUUACAAAUUGUGUUGGGCUAUCGACACAACCUUAUACAAUUGAACAAUAACAAAAAUAUUUUAACAAAGCAACAAUGACAACCUUCAAAUUAUAAUUUUUUGUUUUCUCUUUUAUAUUUUUCUUGUCAACUCGAAUAAAAUUCUCUUAUUAUUAUCUUCCUCGCAAUUUUUUCAUAUUUACUCACUUUCUAAUCUUUUUCUGGCCUUCCACAAAUAUUUCAAGACUAAAAUUAGCCAGAUCGGUUUGGCCGUUCUCCUUUUUUUGCGGCACAAACGAACAGCAAUUCAUUUUUAUAUUAUACUAUUAUCCAAGAAUGAUAGAAGACAAGAUUACGACAGACUGAAGCGUUCACGAUCCACGAAUGGGAAUAGGCAACAGAAGAAUUGUCAAAUGGAAAACGGAAAUGUGAAACAUAGUGAACCAAAUUGAAUAAUGUGCAGAUAAAAUAUCACAAUGAACGUAAUUCUUAAAAUCUUCAUUUAUAAAAUGAUCCAAUAUAAUAAUGCAUAUUUAUAAUUAAAAUAAUAUGUUUUGUUACAAAGAGUUCGCCGUUUUGCCAACUUUUUUGUUGGUUGGAGAAGUGAAAAACAUUCUUAAUAGACGACUUUUUUGUACUAUUGUUGUUUAAUUCCGAGAUUGCGGACUUUUUUUUCAAGUUAAUACAAUUUUCACUUAGAAUUUUAAAUAAUAAUUAAGCACUGACUUCAGCUCUUUGUUUUGGUUUUAUUGUUUUGUACCACAGUGCAAUUUUGUUUUGCUCGCGUGUUCGGGGUCGUGAAAGUUGUCACUCAACAGGAACUCAAAACCCAAAAAAGCUAACUGUCGUAAUCUUGUCUUCUAUCAUUCUUGACUAUUAUCAAGCGACAAUUUUUUUUAAUUCUUCGUUCCCGAAUGACGCCUACAACUCUACAACGCAUAGUUAGCCGCCGAAAAAUUUCAAAAUUUUUAACUCGUGAUAUCUUUUGAAUGGAAUGUCAGAAUCUAAUAAUUCAAAAAGUUAUAUAAAGGUUUUGAAGCGAUCUUAAAUAACAAAUCAUUUGUUUCGAGAAGGAUUAAUACUAAGGUAUAAAUAAAGAGCCUUUUCAAGUAGUGGUAUUUUAAUUCAUUUUUUUAUAUAAAAUCGCUUAUUGUGACAAAACUAUAAUAGUUAGAGAUAUGAUGUCGGGACGUUUUUUGUAGAUAAUGAUAAGUUCUACAUAGUACAUAAAUUUGUUAUAUCUUCAAUCGUUUUCGCAGCAUUUGCAAUUAAAGAAAGUUUUUUGGUAUUUUUUUACAUUAUCGGAGUUUUGUAAGUAACCCUAUUUUUUUAAACUAAAUAUAGCCUAUGUCAGGGAUAGUAUAGCUUUCCAACGGUGAAAGAAUUUUUCAAAUCGGCUCAGUAGUUUCGGAGCCUAUUCGAGACAAACAAACAAAAAAUCAAACCUUUCCUCUUUAUAAUAUUAGUAUGGAAGUAUAGAUUAGUAUAGAUAUGUUGAUAGAACAAAUAAGUUAUUCGCGUUUUCUCAAAGCUUAUCAGCAAUCAGCAAUAUAGCUUUUUUCCCUUAAGGGGGUAUACCGGUGUGACAUUUUCCAAAAAUCGAUAUUUUUAUUUUUUAUUAAUUUGAUAGUUUAUAAUUCCAAAAAUAUCCUGUGAAAGCGGUAAGGUCGUAUCUUGAAUAGUUUUUGAAUGUCAGCGUUCUAAAGUGCAAUCGCUCAAAGGUAUAAGCCGCUAUAGUCGAAACUUUAAACGCGUUAUUCUCGAAAUGACUUUUCACAAAAUUGCCUUCAUCAUAACUCAACGAGAUAUUGACCGAUCAACUUCAAAUUUAAACUGAAUGUUCUCGAAUAUAUUUACUAUACAAUGAGCUAUCUUUUUGAUUUGAUGAAAAUUGUCAAUUUGAUCUAAAAAAACAUCUAAAAACGACCAUAUUUUACCUAAAAAAUCGUUUUUUUUUUUUCAGAACUACGCCAUUUUGUUAAUGUUUGAUAUAUAUUCAACUUUGGUCAUAUAUUCAACUUUAAUAAACUUUUUCAAUUUUUGUGUUUCAGUUACUCAUUCGGCCGUAAUCAUGUCAGCAUUUAGGGAACUUUUUUUUGGCACCUCCCAAGACAGCCUCCUUAUUUUUCAAAAUUUUUGAAAAUAAAAAUCUUAAAAUAUAGUUGAAAGUACACCUUAUUAUGUCCAAAAAACUUCGAAACAUUCGAUUGAAUACUUUCUUUAAAAAAAUCACUAAAAUCGCCUAAUUUUUCAUGGGUUACACUGGUAUAGCCCCCUAAGGACACAUAGGGGACACAUAGCUUCUGGCACAUCUCCCAACUUUUGAUGUCAACGUUCACCAUCUCGUCAGUCUCUUGGCUUAGAAUUGGGUAUUUCUCCGUCCUUGCCAUCACUUGCCACUCCUGUUUCUUGACCAUUUACAACCAUGGCAAAUCGCUCAAAUGGCGCUCCCGAACUGUACUGCUUCAUAUGACUAUGACGCUUGGGGCUCGACACUUUAGCUCCAAUGCAAAUCUCUCAUUGAUUGACGACAACCAACCCAAUAAAAUUGAUUCUCCAAUUUUUCCAAGGUUUUCGUGAUCCUAAAGAAUCCUUGAUUGGGACCUUUGUGCGUUUCAUUGCGAACUUUAAGUAAUCUUUCAUUCCGACCAACCAUGAAAGAUCGGGAGAUUUGUUCUUCUUUACUUUUCCAUACCCGAUAUAAGCAACCAGACACCAACAUAAAACUGUUCCACUGAGCUUUUGCGACUAGAUGUUCCGCAGCUAUUUCUUCUUCUUUUAGACGUUUGUUCCGUUCUACUACUUCGAUCUUUUGUCUCCUGUCCCUUCAACUGUGUAGACACCUGUGCUGAAACCUGCAAUGGUAUACACUCUCCAUGCCCUUCCAGCUGUGUUAACACCUCUGCUCUAUUUAAGGUCGCCUCCAUAGACUCGUCCUCCUUCAACUUUAAGGACACCACAUUCGAUUCCAACUGUGUUGACAAAAUCUCUAGAUGUGUUUCCAAAGGUUUUGACAUACGCGCCUUAUUCGCUUUUAAAUGUGUUGACAAAAUCUCCUAGUGCUUUUCCAACUGUGAAGAAAAUUGUGCUGAUAUUUGCUCGGAUAGCUCUGUUAUUUGCUCUUUCAUUUGGUCCUUUAUUUCUUCCAUUCGCGUUGACUGCGCCAACAUCUGCGACGAAAUCUGUGACAAUGCAGAAAAAACCAUCUUCAUGUCCUGUGCCCCUGAUGAACAUGGAUUAUCUUCCUUUUCCUCCUAUGUUGUCGAUUCAUCUAACAGCGUUUCGAAAACAAAUUCGUCAACGUUGAUGUUUUCUUCUUCCACGGCCUCUCGCAAACGAGCUUGUAACUCAGCUUUCAACUCAUUCGUUGCUAAGUCUCGUUGUUCCAACUCCUUUUUGAGUUGUGGUAUCUUUAAAUCGUUGAACUUAACCAUUAUCUCCCUGUGGAAUUUUAUUCGUCAAUCCCACUUCUGACACCAAUUAUAACGGAUUUCCAAAAUCUGUCGUUUACGCUGAAACUCUACCCUGAGUUGGAUCACUGGAUUGUCAAAUAAAAGUCACAUUUUAAUGGCUACACACUAAUCUUUAUUUCUAAUUCAAAGAACUUAACACUUUAUUACUCAAAACUCUACUUUACAACUCUAACUUGUAACUUGUUUACACUUUACUCGACAGCUCUCCAUAGAAUUGUCCUCACUCGACAACUCUCUCAUUAGAACUGUGUCUUGCUGCCAGUCCGGCAGCCCUUAUAUAUAUCGGCACUCAAACAUUCUGGCAACUACGAAUAUCGAUGUCUAGAUACAUCUGGCAAUUUAUCGAUUUCGAUUGUCAAUUCUAGUUUGUUCUAGUGCCAUUUUCGUUACAGUCCAAUACAAAUUCGAAAUAGUAUUCGCCGUAUGAUGAAAGAAGCACUCGUAGUCCUUUGUGUCAGAAAAUACAAAAACCGUACACCUAGAAAUACAACACAAAAUAUACAACGACAACUGAGCAUAAAUAUUAGUAUUAAUACUUUAUAUAAUUAAUACCUAUUAAAACUCAGAAUAAAAGUGAAAAUCGCACAACGCAACCGGCAUAUAACAAGGCAUAGGAUGAUGUACAACAAGUUACAUCGGAUGUUUUUCAUCUUGAUUCUGAUUUGACUAUGCAGGAAUUAUUAAGCUAAACCUAUAAUUUAUCAUUAGGCGUGUUUUAUUUGACCACCACAAGCUAAUAGCUAAACCAUGGACAAAUAAAACGCAUUUAGCUUAUUUCAUAUCUUCGCUUAAAAAUGAAUUGUGUUGGCAAUGCGGGCCCGAACUCUCAGCUGAAAUGUAAUUUAUUUGAAAAAAAAAGUUGAAUUUAUAAAUCAAAAUUCCUUUUGUUUACCGCUGUUCUAUAAUAUUCUGAGCUUGUAAGGAAUCUACAAUCAUUAUUAGAUCCGGGAUGGUCUAAAUAAAUAUGGAUAAAGUUCUAUAGAAUUUAAAAUUUUGGUUUGUUUAUAUUUUUAUCUGUCAAAAUAGGGUUUCUCGCUAUUGCCAACUACAUCUUUUUGGAAAAAACCCAACUAUUGUGAAUGAAAAAAAAACGAUGAACUGGCAAUGCCUCUAGUUCAAUAUACAAGCUAUGAUAGCUUAUGACAAGCCAACAUAAUUAUGUUGGCUAAGUCUUCCAUACAAAAUAAGCCAAUAGCUUAAUUUGCUGGUCAAAUAAAACGCGCCUAUUGAUAAUAGGCGUGUCUAUUUGUCGACUUUAAAGCGCCUAUUGAUAAUAGGCGUGUUUUAUUUGACCAGCAAAUUAAGCUAUUAGCUUUUUUCAUAAGCUUGUAUAUUGAACUAGAGGCAUUGCCAGUUCAUCGCCUUUUUUCAUUCAAAAUAGUUAGGUUUUUUCCAAAAAAAAUAGUAGUUGGCAAAGCGAGAAACCUCAUUUUGCGUUGCCAACACAAUUCAUUUUUAAGCGAAGAUAUGAAAUACUAGCAGUGACAGAUGAGCAAAAUUAAUGCGCCUUAG
Molecule: long non-coding RNA, 5980 nt
Organism: Zeugodacus cucurbitae (melon fly)
Lineage: Eukaryota; Metazoa; Arthropoda; Insecta; Diptera; Tephritidae
Exons: 3
Source: RefSeq, a predicted model, not a curated record